GAGGAUUAGCUCAGUGGGAGAGCGUCUGCCUUACAAGCAGAAAGUCGGGGGUUCAAAUCCCUCAUCCUCUA
Molecule: transfer RNA, 71 nt
Filed under: Texas Phoenix palm phytoplasma
Lineage: Bacteria; Bacillati; Mycoplasmatota; Mollicutes; Acholeplasmatales; Acholeplasmataceae
Also listed under: 1 other name
Description: tRNA-Val
Rfam family: tRNA
About the family: Transfer RNA (tRNA) molecules are approximately 80 nucleotides in length. Their secondary structure includes four short double-helical elements and three loops (D, anti-codon, and T loops).
Source: RNAcentral